CAGUGUGUGGUUUGGUAGCCUGGACUGACGUCCUGCUGGGCACGUCAGAACUGCACAUCACCAGGAGGUCACAAAGGUGGGAAUGGAGCCCGGGGCAGGACAAAGUCGGGAAGGCAGGACAGGAGAGAUGUCCAGACCCAGACAGGGAUCCAGAAUCCACAUCCCCACAUUCAAAUCCAAGGACCCAAGACAGAGUACUUGAGUGUCAUCUACAUCCGAUGGUUCGAGCCAGGCAAAUAGUUGGCAAGGAUGACAGUGUUUGUGGAAACCAUGAGAAGACGAUACUGAGAGAAGUCCCCAUCCCGAGUCCCCAAGGCAAUCUUCCAUCUUUCUCUGAAGGAAGAGGAGGAGCUGGCAAUCAGAGACAGCCACGUGAUGCUGGGUUCCAUAGAAAGUCUUCAGCAGAGAAUUCUUCCAAAGUG
This is a long non-coding RNA of Lemur catta (Ring-tailed lemur), 422 nucleotides long. RefSeq lists it as uncharacterized. The transcript has 3 exons. The record is from RefSeq and is a predicted model, not a curated record. Lineage: Eukaryota; Metazoa; Chordata; Mammalia; Primates; Lemuridae.